This 344-nucleotide long non-coding RNA is filed under the name Pan troglodytes (chimpanzee). RNAcentral's name for it is "long non-coding RNA NONPTRT016443". Lineage: Eukaryota; Metazoa; Chordata; Mammalia; Primates; Hominidae. The record is from RNAcentral.
CCUGAGUGUAGUCACUGCCAGGGAGUGGAGGAGAGGGACCCAGUCUCCCGCGGUGGCCACCCCAUCUGAUUCUCACUCCAGGCCACACAGGAUGUCCAGGCUUUGGGUGCCGGGCCCCUUCCUGCUGAGCCAGCAGAGCGUCCUUCCCGGCCUCCGGCCUCUCCUCCUCUCCGUCAACACCCACCCAAGUGACCAAGCAGCACACGUUUCCCCUGGAAUCCUAUAAGCACGAGCCUGAACGGUUAGAGAAUCGCAUCUAUGCCUCGUCUUCCCCUCCGGACACAGGGCAGAGGUUCUGCCCAUCUUCCUUCCAGAGCCCGACCAGGCCUCCACUGGCAUCACCG